This 72-nucleotide transfer RNA is filed under the name bacterium. Its description in RNAcentral is "tRNA-Arg". It matches the Rfam family "tRNA". From Rfam's summary of the family: Transfer RNA (tRNA) molecules are approximately 80 nucleotides in length. Their secondary structure includes four short double-helical elements and three loops (D, anti-codon, and T loops). RNAcentral also lists the same sequence under 1 other name. The record is from RNAcentral.
GCCCUCGUAGUUCAAUGGUUAGAACGACUCACUCCUAACGAGUAAAUUGAGGUUCGAUUCCUCGCGAGGGCA